UUUGGGUUGUCGUAUGCAAUCAUCCAACCCAAUAACUUGUGGAAAAACUGAGGGUUAAUUAGUGCAAUUCACGAUUAAUUUGGGGCGUUGAGUAUUCAUAGUUUAUCGAAAAGCAACUGGAAAUCGUUUUGUAUGCAAGUAUGACAUGUGUGGAGAAGAACCUCCUAGCUAGCCUUCCAUCCAUAAGUUUCAUUCAAAUUCAUUUUACAAUCUGUUUUGAUUCACUUAAAUUUGUCUAAGAAUUUGUUUACUUUGUACUUGUCUUAAUUUAAUUAUUUUCGUCCAAAAUCAAGCCCAUCUUAUUUCUUUGAGUCAUAUUAAUUAGAACUUGUCUUAGAUUAUGUUUUUAAGUGUUUUAGUUCAUUAGAAAACCAAAUUCGUCCAAGUUUGUGUUAGAGUCCCAAAACUGCCCAGAUUGUAUGUUUAAGGUAGUUUUGAGUGUUUAAGGGCUGUUUUGAGUCUUUUGGUUUGUUUUAGUGUUUUAAAGUAUAGUUUUGCAUUCUUUGAGUCUAGUUAGUGUUUUAAACUUUGUUUUUACGUUUUCAAGUCAGUUUCCAAGUGAUUUAGCAAUCCCUCCUAAUCCCCGGCCUAGAACGAUCCCUACUUACAUACUUUACUACAAUUGAUAAAAAGAGGGUUUAAUUUGUGUGCUUAUAUAUUUCGCAUCAUCUCUCUAAUCCGAAUUGUAAGCGUUGGAAAACAUGUUGUCCCCUGAUUGGCUAUGGCCUUGAUAACCCCAAGCAUCUUCAUUCGCAGCGAAUUGAGAACAUUGAUGAGUUGGAUAUCCUUGCCCAUAGGACACACCAUCUGUAGGGACACUUUGCAUUGUGGUCCUUUCGGCAUAUUGUGACAAUUGACAAGUAAGUUUUGCCAAUUGAGUUUGAAUGGUAGCAAAAUCCAUGUCUUACUUCUCUAGUACUUGAAAUCAAGGAAACAAAACUAAAUCAAAUAUCAUAAGUAAAAAUAAAAAACACAAAUAGAAACAAAGUCAGUAACUAAAACAAAAAACAUGAAAAAGAAACAACGGGGGAUUAGCAAAGUUGCUAAUCCCCGGCAAUGGCGCCAAAAAUUUGAUGCGAAAAUUAUCUUAACACACAAAUUAAACCCUCUUGUUGUCAAUUGUAGUAUAAAUGCAAGUAGGGAUCGUUCUAGGCCGGGGAUUAGGAGGGAUUGCUAAAACACUUGAAACUAACUUAAAAUGUAAAAUUAAGUUUAAAACACCAAACUAGACUCAAAGAACUUAAAACAAACUCAAAGGACUCAAAACAAGCUAAAAACACUCAAAUCUGCCUAAAAACACAAACUAGGUAGAUUUGGACUCUAACACACUUUUGGGACACCUAAAAACACAAAUCAAAACAGAUUUUGACUAAUAAAACACUUUAAAGUAAAGGGGGUUUUGGUUUUGACGAAUUUGAAAACAAAACAAGUAAAUUAAAGAACUAAUGAAAUCUGCACGAAUUUGAGUAAAUUGAAUGGAUGGAAGGCUAGCUAGGAGGUUCUUCUCCACACAUGACAUACUUGCACAUAAACCAAUUUUCAGUUGUUGUUUCGAUCAAUCAUGAAACUCAACACCCCAGGUUAAUUAAGUCCGCUUAAAUUAACCUUCAAGUUCUCCUUAAGUUAUUAAAUUGGAUGGGAAAGCGCAUACAACAAUUCAAGCAUUCUUCAAAAGUUCUUUACGUGAACAUCACAAUAAAGAUACAAUCAAAGAUCAUUAAGCAUUAUGAAAACUAUAAGUAUUGACGAGGCAUUCGUUACUAUGAUGAGCAUGAAACUCCUGCUAAGAAUUUAUUUAACGUGAUCGUUUAUAAACGACCUCCACUACUUGUGAAUAUAAGUUUGUAACUAUUAGGUGAAACUCCCUUAUACUCUAGCAUCAUAUUCAUGCAUGCAAACUAAGUGUGCACUCUUAAUAGACAUACACGAAUAAGUUAUCAAUCAAGCAGUUAAACAAAUUGAAUUCACCACUUAUGAAAUCACAACUGAAGGUAAUCAAAUCAUAUUGCAAGCAUGAACAUGGUUUCGAAUUCCCCCCUAGCUAAGGGGGGUUUAGUUCCUCAUACUCACAAAGCAAAGAUAAACAAAUUUAGAGAUUGAAAACAAAAGAAUGAAAACCCCUAAAAACGCUCCAACAAUCCAACUUGAAUGGCAAGCACGUCCAAGGGUCCUCCUUCUUCUCUUUGUUGCGGCACAAGGUGUGGCUUGAUGGAUGAGUGGUAAAUUAUGGUGGUGGAUGGGUAUAGGUGAGUUAUGGUGAAGGGUGGAUGGGUGGAUUGUGUUCUCUCAGCCAAGGAAUGAAAGUGUAAGUGUAUGGAGUUGUGAGAUGUGAAUGUAGUGUCUUUUGAUGGAUCUUUUCUC
This 2361-nucleotide long non-coding RNA is filed under the name Malus domestica (apple). RNAcentral's name for it is "long non-coding RNA (MDOM_LNC019074)". Lineage: Eukaryota; Viridiplantae; Streptophyta; Magnoliopsida; Rosales; Rosaceae. The record is from RNAcentral.